GAUGAACGCUGGCGGCGUGCUUAACACAUGCAAGUCGAACGAUGAAGCCCAGCUUGCUGGGUGGAUUAGUGGCGAACGGGUGAGUAACACGUGAGUAACCUGCCCUUGACUCUGGGAUAAGCCUGGGAAACUGGGUCUAAUACUGGAUAUGACUUCUCAUCGCAUGGUGGGGGGUGGAAAGAUUUAUUGGUCUUGGAUGGACUCGCGGCCUAUCAGCUUGUUGGUGAGGUAAUGGCUCACCAAGGCGACGACGGGUAGCCGGCAGGGGAGGGUGACCGGCAACAGGGGGACGGGAACACGGCCAGGCCCACACCGGGGGGGGGGGGGGGGGAAUUGUACACAAGGGGCUCAGGCCAGGUGCGGCCACGCCGGGUGGGGGAGGGGGGCCUGGGGUUUGUAAACCUCUUACAGUGGGAAAGAAGGGGGAGUGACGGUACGUGAAGAAGAGGCGCCGGCUAACUACGUG
RNAcentral lists this ribosomal RNA (466 nucleotides) under uncultured bacterium. RNAcentral's name for it is "partial 16S ribosomal RNA". It matches the Rfam family "Bacterial small subunit ribosomal RNA", at positions 28 to 507 of the family's 1533-position model. The record is from RNAcentral.